This 440-nucleotide ribosomal RNA is filed under the name uncultured bacterium. RNAcentral's name for it is "partial 16S ribosomal RNA". It matches the Rfam family "Bacterial small subunit ribosomal RNA", at positions 338 to 795 of the family's 1533-position model. The record is from RNAcentral.
CCUACGGGUGGCUGCAGUGGGGAAUAUUGCACAAUGGGGGGAACCCUGAUGCAGCGACGCCGCGUGGGUGAAGGAGUACUUCGGUACGUAAAGCCCUAUCAGCAGGAAAGAAAAUGACGGUACCUGACUAAGAAGCCCCGGCGAACUACGUACCAGCAGCCGCGGUAAUACGUAGGGGGCAAGCGUUAUCCGGAUUUACUGGGUGUAAAGGGAGCGUAGACGGCAGUGCCAGUCCGGAGUGAAAGCCCGGGGCUCAACCCUGGGACUGCUCUGGAAACUGCAAAGCUGGAGUGCGGGAGGGGCAGGCGGAAUUCCUGGUGUAGCGGUGAAAUGCGUAGAUAUCAGGAGGAACACCGGCGGCGAAGGCAGCUUACUAAGCCAUAACUGACACUGAAGCACGAAAGCGUGGGGAUCAAACAGGAUUAGAUACCCCAGUAGUC